AUUGUGUUAUAAGACUAAGACAAAACUACACAUCAUCUGUCACCUAGUUAGAAACAAUUGACUAUGCAUGCACCUUCCAAUCCUUCAGCUGCCCUGGGGUCCUACAUCCUUUGACCUCCACCAUCUUCGUCACUACCACUGGCUCCAUCUCAUUCACAGAUCUUCCAUCUCCACUUUGCCACUCAGGUCCACUCAAGUGUCACUUGCUCCGUCUUGAUCUCCAGCAUUACUGGCUUUGAUCCAACGUGGAUCUCCAACCGUCUAGUUCCAUCUAGACAUCCUUCUCUGCCAUUCUUACUCAACAAAAAUAUCUUCACAGAGACUUAAUCUCUGCGAUCUUCAUCAUUCCCACCGACUCCACCUCAGUCUGCCGAUCUUCUGUCUUCACCUUGGCCCUCCAGUCCAGUGGCAUUAUACUGGUUCUCCAGCAGUUUGGCACCAUCUUGGUCUACAGCUUUCCUGAUUUCACCUUGGUCUUCCAUCUACUCAACUCUGUCCUGGUUUGCCUCACCCAUGGCUCCACAGUGUCUCUCUAUCUUUGUGGCUCCAUCAAAGCAUCCCUCCGUCCCAGUUUUGCUAAACAAGACAUCUUUACAGAUACAUGAUCUCCACCAUCUUCAACACUCCCACUGGCUCUUCCUCGGUCUGCAGAUCUUCUACAUCCACCUAGGCCCUCAAGCCCUGCUGUAUUACCCUGGUUGUCCAGUCCUCUGGUUACAUCCAUCUUGGUAUCAAGCCAUCCUGACUCUGCCUUGGCCUUCUGUCUGGUCUGCACAGCCUGAGGAUCGACAAUGGGUCUCCAUUGCUCCGAUUCCAUCAAGGCAUUCCACUAUGCCAUUUCUGCCAUGACACCCUCCAUUACUUUUACAGUGGUUUCUUCUUCCACUGCACACCCUUGACCUCUUCCUUCACUAUUUGUGCAGUAGUCUCUUCCUCUGCCAGCUCCACUGUAGUCUCUUACCCUCACCAUCACACUGGCUGUUUAAGAGUCAAAAGCUGCCUUUUGGAAAGGCAGGUACUUUCAAGUUCUGUUUCUGCUCUAGGAGUUUAUAUUUAUAUUUAGUUCCUGUUUUCUGAGGUGCCAAUAUACAUUUUCACUUUGUUCUGAUUUGUUUAAUCAGUUGCAUAUUGUGUUAACCUAUGUUUAUUGAAUUUAUUGUUAUUUUUAUGUAUGUAUUUUAUAUUUCCUAAAUCUUUCCUGAGCUAUUUUUUGUU
Cyprinus carpio (common carp) is the source of this 1215-nucleotide long non-coding RNA. RefSeq lists it as uncharacterized. The transcript is spliced from 3 exons. Lineage: Eukaryota; Metazoa; Chordata; Actinopteri; Cypriniformes; Cyprinidae. The record is from RefSeq and is a predicted model, not a curated record.